GCUGGGCGCGGUGGCGCGCGCCUGUAGUCCCAGCGACUCGGGAAGCUGAGGCAGGAGGAUCGCUUGAGCCCGGGAGUUCUGGGCUGUAGCGCGCUAUUUCGAUAGGGUGUCCGCACUAAGUUCGGCAUCAAUAUGGUGACCUCCCAGGUGCGGGGGACCACCAGGUUGCCUAAGGAGGGGUGAACCGGCCCAGGUCGGAAACGGAGCCGGUCAAAACUCCCGUGCUGAUUACUGAGUGCUACAUCAGCAUGUUCAAAGGAUCUUUUGCAUGCCUUCU
Molecule: signal recognition particle RNA, 277 nt
Filed under: Zalophus californianus (California sea lion)
Lineage: Eukaryota; Metazoa; Chordata; Mammalia; Carnivora; Otariidae
Description: Metazoan signal recognition particle RNA (ENSZCAG00015008446.1)
Rfam family: Metazoan signal recognition particle RNA
About the family: The signal recognition particle (SRP) is a universally conserved ribonucleoprotein. It is involved in the co-translational targeting of proteins to membranes.
Source: RNAcentral